AUAGAAAAGACACAUUUUAUAGCCAUAACAAAAGAGAAACCGACGGCACAUAUUGUUAAAACGUUUAUACCUCCGUACUUUGCUUUGGUUUGUACCACCACUGGGUAUCCACCGCCACAGAUCGGAUGGGCAUUCGUUAAAGCUGGCUCUAGUACAGGCUCAGUGGGACUUCCGGGCGAUGCUGACGUCACACGUAAAGGGCUCGUCUCCAUAGUAGCGGUCGAUCACUAUAAGUCGGCGUCUCAUGACGGCUCCUGGUAUUGUGCUGCCACCAACUGCCUUGGUGACGUCAUAACUGAAACUGAUAUUCCCUAGGUUAAGGUUAAGUUCAUCCGAUACCUGCAAAGAAAUUUAAAAUUGUUACGUGUAUUUUGUUCAGAUAAAAAGUUCAGACCA
Molecule: long non-coding RNA, 396 nt
Organism: Ruditapes philippinarum (Manila clam)
Lineage: Eukaryota; Metazoa; Mollusca; Bivalvia; Venerida; Veneridae
Exons: 4
Source: RefSeq, a predicted model, not a curated record